RNAcentral lists this non-coding RNA (177 nucleotides) under bovine gut metagenome. RNAcentral describes it as "malK-I RNA". It matches the Rfam family "malK-I RNA". The record is from RNAcentral.
GGUGUCCGCCUACUCCACGAAAUAGACGGGCAUACAUGCGAAAAGGAGGUUUACCCAUCCCGCAGGGCCCGCGGUGCGGCAGUGUGGAGACCUGUCGUAAUGCGGUUCACCCAACUUUACCGGGUGACGCGAGGGCACGGCAAAGGACCGCCGUGUUCAGGGCCGGAUGCAAUGGCA